Molecule: ribosomal RNA, 639 nt
Filed under: Malassezia sympodialis
Lineage: Eukaryota; Fungi; Basidiomycota; Malasseziomycetes; Malasseziales; Malasseziaceae
Description: eukaryotic LSU rRNA
Rfam family: Eukaryotic large subunit ribosomal RNA
Source: RNAcentral
UAAACUUUAAACAUAUCAAUAAGCGGAGGAAAAGAAACUAACAAGGAUUCCCCUAGUAACGGCGAGCGAAGCGGGAAGAGCUCAAAUUUGAAAGCUGGCACCUCCGGUGUCCGCGUUGUAAUCUCGAGACGUGUUUUCCGUGCGGCUCUAUGGACAAGUCCCUUGGAACAGGGCAUCGUAGAGGGUGAAAAUCCCGUACUUGCCAUGGAUGUACCGUGCUUUGUGAUACACGCUCUAAGAGUCGAGUUGUUUGGGAUUGCAGCUCAAAAUGGGUGGUAGACUCCAUCUAAAGCUAAAUAUCGGGGAGAGACCGAUAGCGAACAAGUACCGUGAGGGAAAGAUGAAAAGCACUUUGGAAAGAGAGUUAAAAGUACGUGAAAUUGUCGAAAGGGAAGCGCUUGAAGUCAGCCAUGCUGCGCGGACUCAGCCCGGCUGAUGCCUGGUGUAUUUCCCAGCAGCAAGUCAGCAUGGAUUUGGAUCGCCGGAGAAGGGUGGGAGGAAUGUGGCACCCUCGGGUGUGUUAAGCCUCCUACUGGAUACGGCGAUUUGGAUCCAGGAACGCAGUGUGCCUCUGGCGGGUCUUCGGACACCUUCACACUUAGGAUGCUGGCGUAAUGGCUUUAAGCGGCCCGUCUUGAA